Molecule: small RNA, 230 nt
Filed under: Loxodonta africana (African savanna elephant)
Lineage: Eukaryota; Metazoa; Chordata; Mammalia; Proboscidea; Elephantidae
Description: 7SK RNA (ENSLAFG00000032980.1)
Source: RNAcentral
UGAUGACUGGGGCUGCACCAUCUGUCAUCCCACAGAUGGCCAGAAUCCUGUCAGCUGACGUACUGUCCAUUCCUCCUAACGUUGUGCACUCAGUCAAAGAGGUCAGCCUCUCUUAAGAGGAAACCACCACCCUUCAAUCGAGGGUAUAAAAUAAGUAUGGCUGCAACUGAGUUGUGGCUCCAGACUGAUUUAUUUUUAUUCCCUGAGGACAUUUCAGGAUGAAUCUCUCA